AAACCACUUGAACCCUCCUCAACCCACUUGACCCAUUCCAACCCAACCUAAUGCAAAUUAACUAGGACCUACCCUAGUGCACACUAGUUGACAUAACCCCAACCAACCCUUAUCCAACUAAACCGAACCAACCUCAACGUAAAUCUACCUUUUUCAGACCUAGGAUAUACUUAGGUCUUUCAUGAACCAAACCGUUAUAGUUAUAUAAGCCCAUCAACAAUCACAAGCAAGCGAAGACCUUAACACAGUAAGACAUGCAAGGGAGUGGAAUCAAACCAUGUCCUAAUCUUUCGAGUCACAAAAAAGUAGGUCCGACUCCCCUCAUAUUGUGAUGCUUGGUGGGUCGUCCUAGAUCCUUUCGAUGACCUAUGUUGAAGCGAUAUCUAUAUGAUCAGAUCAAUUUCGUUAGUGCUCUCGGCUCGGUGAGUCCUUUCUUCUAUGAUGAACUAGUGGCACCAGUCCUACAUUUUGUCUCUGUGGACUCUCAUAUCGAUCCGAAUGAAUCAAUCUUUUCAUGGACUCUCAUAUCGAUCCGAAUGAAUCAGUCUUUUCAUGGACCACAAUGGUAUAUCUUUGCCUACUAGGCAAGAUGAUAACAAGUUACAAAUUUGUCUCGUAGGAUUAGAUGCCCCUGUAUUCUCAAAUGUAAACGAUGGAUAUUAUGCACUGUGCGUAUCGACCCGUGCAGUGCUGUAGCUAACUCGUUAAGUAUCCUUCAUGGGGAGUACAUUAGCAAGAAUGAAACUCAAAAGAAUUGGCCGGGGACCCGCACAAGCGGUGGAGCAUGUGGUUUAAUUUGAUGCAAAGUGAAGAACCUUACCAAGGCUUGACAUGCCCCGAAUCCUCUUCAAAGAGAGGGGUACCUUCGGGAAUGCAGACACAGGUGCUGCAUGGCUGUCGUCAGCUCGUGUUGUAAGGUGUUGGGUUAAGUCCCACAACGAGCACGACCCUCGUGUUUAGUUGCCACCAUUGUGUUUGGAACCCUGAAUAGACUGCCGGUGAUAAGCCGGAGGAAGGUGAGGAUGACGUCAAGUCAUCAUGUGCCUUAUGCCCUGGGCGACACAUGUGCUAUAAUGGCCAGGACAAAGGUCGCGAUCCUGCGAGGGUGAGCUAAUUCCAAAAACUCGUCCUCAGUUCGGAUUGCAGGUUGUAACUCUCCUGCAUGAAGCUAGAAUCGUUAGUAAUAGCCGGUCAGCCAUACAGUGGUGAAUUCACUCCCGGGCCUUGUACACACCGCCCCAUCACACUAUGGGAGCUGGCCAUGCUUGAAGUCGUUACCUUAACUGUAAGGAGGGGGAUGCCGAAGGUGGGGCUAGUGACUGGAUUGAAGUCGUAACAAGGUAGCUGUACUGGAACAUGUGACUC
This 1365-nucleotide ribosomal RNA is filed under the name Amborella trichopoda. RNAcentral's name for it is "bacterial SSU rRNA". The stretch from base 537 to 1365 matches the Rfam family "Bacterial small subunit ribosomal RNA". The record is from RNAcentral. Lineage: Eukaryota; Viridiplantae; Streptophyta; Magnoliopsida; Amborellales; Amborellaceae.